AGAACCACAGUGUCUGGAAAAAAAAAAUCAGUCUCAGAAGGACCUUUCCUCCCCACUUGGCUGGCAUUGUGACACUUUUGACAGAGGAGAGAAACUUCAGUGAGAUUUUGCAGGAUAACAGGACUGACAGCUGAACCUGAGACAAGAGAGGUUCCACGAAGACAUUAGCUCAAGGUACACAACACAAAAUCGCUUUCCAUUAAUUGCAGUUGAGGCUUGAGGCACACACUUCAAAGUCUUGGCAACCUAAGGCAGUUUGCGGCUUUGUUCUGAUUCAAGGAUGCUGCCUGAGAACAAAGCAACUCCUUAGACCUCCGGGCGCAGGCGACUUUCCCAAGACUGGCAACUGGCAGGGUUACCAGGACUGGUGUGGUCUUGUCAGUGAGGAGUUUUCUCAGUACCCUGUGUACUGUAUUGAAAUUGAUAGAAGGAGAGAGGAGACAGACAGACAUACAGACAGACAGACACACACACACACACACACACACACACACACACACACAGGGAAAGAGAGAAAGAGACAGAGUUUGAACCUCUGGAUUUCUAGGAAACUUCCCAGAUUUUCUCUCAUCUCUCGGUGUUUUCCUAUCAAAAGCCGCAUUCCAUUACAGCUCUCUGAUUCUAGAAUUCUAAAAUGCUUCACUGGCUUGGUGGGCAGAUUGCGUUUAAAUUCUUUGCCAUCUUCUGGGUUCUGUUACUUAGUAACAGCUUCCAGUCAAGGAGAUGCCAUGUUCUGUUGGGCCCCCAAGAGGUUCAAAGAAAGGAAAUGUUCAGUCAUUCGCAGUUUCCCAGGAGGCAUAGCAGAGGAAUAAAAUCAGACACAGAUCCAGGGACGGAGCAGGUGGUGAAGAACAGAAAAUGAUGCUGUGAAUCCUUAGGCCUGAGGACUUCUGGGACCCUCAGAUAAGCAAAACUUGGAGAUGAUCUGACAACCACAAUACUAACUGGGAACAGGGAUUCCAUUUGAAACAGUCAACACCUUGCCUGCCUCUGUACUGACCAGUUAGAAGGGCAACAGCUGUGAAUUUGCUGCCAAAAGUCAGCUGGGCCCGUGAGGGAAUUUUCUAAUAAAAACUCAUUCUCCAGC
This is a non-coding RNA of Ictidomys tridecemlineatus (thirteen-lined ground squirrel), 1087 nucleotides long. The record is from RefSeq and is a predicted model, not a curated record. Lineage: Eukaryota; Metazoa; Chordata; Mammalia; Rodentia; Sciuridae.